RNAcentral lists this ribosomal RNA (253 nucleotides) under uncultured bacterium. Its description in RNAcentral is "partial 16S ribosomal RNA". It matches the Rfam family "Bacterial small subunit ribosomal RNA", at positions 524 to 776 of the family's 1533-position model. The record is from RNAcentral.
UACAGAGGGUGCGAGCGUUAAUCGGAAUUACUGGGCGUAAAGCGCGCGUAGGCGGCUUUGCAAGUCGAUUGUGAAAUCCCCAGGCUUAACCUGGGAACUGCAUUCGAGACUGCAUAGCUAGAGUAUGGGAGAGGGAAGUGGAAUUUCAGGUGUAGCGGUGAAAUGCGCAGAUAUCAGGAGGAACACCGGUGGCGAAGGCGGGUCUCUGGGCCGAUACUGACGCUGAGGAGCGAAAGCGUGGGGAGCGAACAGG